This 253-nucleotide ribosomal RNA is filed under the name uncultured bacterium. RNAcentral's name for it is "partial 16S ribosomal RNA". It matches the Rfam family "Bacterial small subunit ribosomal RNA", at positions 524 to 776 of the family's 1533-position model. The record is from RNAcentral.
UACGUAGGCAGCAAGCGUUGUUCGGAGUUACUGGGCGUAAAGAGUGCGUAGGUGGUGCCCUAAGUCUGUUGUGAAAUCUCCCGGCUUAACUGGGAGGGUGCGGUGGAAACUGGGGUGCUUGAGUGUGGGAGAGGUAAGCGGAAUUCCUGGUGUAGCGGUGAAAUGCGUAGAUAUCAGGAGGAACACCGGUGGCGAAGGCGGUUCUCUGGGCCUUACCUGACGCUGAGGAGCGAAAGCGUGGGGAGCGAACAGG